CAUACGUACAAGCAGUGGGAGCACCUUCGGGUGUGACUGCGUACCUUUUGUAUAAUGGGUCAGCGACUUAUAUUCUGUAGCAAGGUUAACCGUAUAGGGGAGCCGCAGGGAAACCGAGUCUUAACUGGG
This 129-nucleotide ribosomal RNA is filed under the name Klebsiella pneumoniae. Its description in RNAcentral is "partial 23S ribosomal RNA". It matches the Rfam family "Bacterial large subunit ribosomal RNA", at positions 559 to 692 of the family's 2925-position model. Lineage: Bacteria; Pseudomonadati; Pseudomonadota; Gammaproteobacteria; Enterobacterales; Enterobacteriaceae. The record is from RNAcentral.